CCUGGUGGCUCAGAUGGUAGAGAAUCUGCCUGCAAUGCAGGAGACCUGGGUUCAAUCCCUCAGUCAGG
Molecule: transfer RNA, 68 nt
Filed under: Capra hircus (goat)
Lineage: Eukaryota; Metazoa; Chordata; Mammalia; Artiodactyla; Bovidae
Also listed under: 1 other name
Rfam family: tRNA
About the family: Transfer RNA (tRNA) molecules are approximately 80 nucleotides in length. Their secondary structure includes four short double-helical elements and three loops (D, anti-codon, and T loops).
Source: Rfam by way of RNAcentral